This 421-nucleotide ribosomal RNA is filed under the name uncultured bacterium. Its description in RNAcentral is "bacterial SSU rRNA". It matches the Rfam family "Bacterial small subunit ribosomal RNA", at positions 355 to 773 of the family's 1533-position model. The record is from RNAcentral.
UGGGGAAUAUUGGACAAUGGGCGAAAGCCUGAUCCAGCCACGCCGCGUGAGUGAUGAAGGCCUUCGGGUCGUAAAGCUCUGUGGGGAGGGACGAACGUCCCGGCGUAGAGCCGGGGGUGCCGGUACCUCCUUAGCAAGCACCGGCUAACUUCGUGCCAGCAGCCGCGGUAAUACGAAGGGUGCAAACGUUGCUCGGAAUCAUUGGGCGUAAAGCGCACGUAGGCGGCCUCGCAAGUCUGAUGUGAAAUCCCUCGGCUCAACCGAGGACGUGCAUCGGAAACUGCGGGGCUUGAGUACUGAAGAGGAUCGCGGAAUUCCCGGUGUAGAGGUGAAGUUCGUAGAUAUCGGGAGGAACACCAGUGGCGAAGGCGGCGAUCUGGGCAGAUACUGACGCUGAGGUGCGAAAGCGUGGGGAGCAAAC